RNAcentral lists this ribosomal RNA (429 nucleotides) under bacterium. RNAcentral describes it as "partial 16S ribosomal RNA". It matches the Rfam family "Bacterial small subunit ribosomal RNA", at positions 355 to 776 of the family's 1533-position model. The record is from RNAcentral.
UAGGGAAUCUUCGGCAAUGGGGGCAACCCUGACCGAGCAACGCCGCGUGAGUGAAGAAGGUUUUCGGAUCGUAAAGCUCUGUUGUAAGAGAAGAACGUGUGUGAGAGUGGAAAGUUCACACAGUGACGGUAACUUACCAGAAAGGGACGGCUAACUACGUGCCAGCAGCCGCGGUAAUACGUAGGUCCCGAGCGUUGUCCGGAUUUAUUGGGCGUAAAGCGAGCGCAGGCGGUUUAAUAAGUCUGAAGUUAAAGGCAGUGGCUUAACUAUUGUUCGCUUUGGAAACUGUUAAACUUGAGUGCAGAAGGGGAGAGUGGAAUUCCAUGUGUAGCGGUGAAAUGCGUAGAUAUAUGGAGGAACACCGGUGGCGAAAGCGGCUCUCUGGUCUGUAACUGACGCUGAGGCUCGAAAGCGUGGGGAGCAAACAGG